Molecule: ribosomal RNA, 434 nt
Filed under: uncultured Lachnospiraceae bacterium
Lineage: Bacteria; Bacillati; Bacillota; Clostridia; Lachnospirales; Lachnospiraceae
Description: partial 16S ribosomal RNA
Rfam family: Bacterial small subunit ribosomal RNA
Source: RNAcentral
ACGGGAGGCAGCAGUGGGGAAUAUUGCACAAUGGGGGAAACCCUGAUGCAGCGACGCCGCGUGAGUGAAGAAGUAUUUCGGUAUGUAAAACUCUAUCAGCAGGAAAGAAAAUGACGGUACCUGACUAAGAAGCCCCGGCUAACUACGUGCCAGCAGCCGCGGUAAUACGUAGGGGGCAAGCGUUAUCCGGAUUUACUGGGUGUAAAGGGAGCGUAGACGGUAAGGCAAGUCUGAAGUGAAAUGCCAGGGCUCAACCCUGGAACUGCUUUGGAAACUGUCCUACUAGAGUGCAGGAGAGGUAAGUGGAAUUCCUAGUGUAGCGGUGAAAUGCGUAGAUAUUAGGAGGAACACCAGUGGCGAAGGCGGCUUACUGGACUGUAACUGACGUUGAGGCUCGAAAGCGUGGGGAGCAAACAGGAUUAGAUACCCUGGUA